CAGCAGCCGCGGUAAUACGUAGGUGGCAAGCGUUAUCCGGAAUUAUUGGGCGUAAAGCGCGCGCAGGUGGUUUCUUAAGUCUGAUGUGAAAGCCCACGGCUCAACCGUGGAGGGUCAUUGGAAACUGGGAGACUUGAGUGCAGAAGAGGAAAGUGGAAUUCCAUGUGUAGCGGUGAAAUGCGUAGAGAUAUGGAGGAACACCAGUGGCGAAGGCGACUUUCUGGUGUGUAACUGACACUGAGGCGCCAGCUGGGGAGCAAACAGGAUUAGAUACCCCUGGUAGUCCACGCCGCAAACGAUGAGUGCUAAGUGUUAGAGGGUUUCCGCCCUUUAGUGCUGAAGUUAACGCAUUAAGCACUCCGCCUGGGGAGUACGGCCGCAAGGCUGAAACUCAAAGGAAUUGACGGG
RNAcentral lists this ribosomal RNA (408 nucleotides) under Bacillus sp. Endo23. Its description in RNAcentral is "bacterial SSU rRNA". It matches the Rfam family "Bacterial small subunit ribosomal RNA", at positions 509 to 917 of the family's 1533-position model. Lineage: Bacteria; Bacillati; Bacillota; Bacilli; Caryophanales; Bacillaceae. The record is from RNAcentral.